GUGCAGCAGGCGAAAAUUUGGGCAAUGGCCGAAAGGCUGACCCAGCGACGCUGCGUGUGGGAUGAAGCCCUUUGGGGGCGUAAACCACUUUUCAGAAGGACGAGGGUUCAUCCGGCGAAUACCCGGACGGAUUGACGGUACUUCUGGAAUAAGCUCUGGCUAACCCCGUGCCAGCAGCCGCGGUAAGACGGGGAGAGCAAGCGUUGCCCGGAAUCAUUGGGCUUAAAGGGGGCGUAGGCGGUUAGGUGUGUCAGACGUGUAAACUAUCGGCUCAACCGAUAGGCCUGCGUUUGAAACUACCUAGCUCGAGGGCGAAAGAGGAGAGCGGAACUCCCGGUGUAGCGGUGAAAUGCGUAGA
RNAcentral lists this ribosomal RNA (358 nucleotides) under uncultured microorganism. RNAcentral's name for it is "bacterial SSU rRNA". It matches the Rfam family "Bacterial small subunit ribosomal RNA", at positions 346 to 694 of the family's 1533-position model. The record is from RNAcentral.